This is a long non-coding RNA of Myiozetetes cayanensis, 339 nucleotides long. RefSeq lists it as uncharacterized. NCBI's taxonomy places the organism in Eukaryota, Metazoa, Chordata, Aves, Passeriformes, Tyrannidae. The transcript is spliced from 4 exons. The record is from RefSeq and is a predicted model, not a curated record.
AUGAGCUCUGCAACAGCAACAGGCUGAAGUUUAAAAUCAAGAAUCUCAAAAUGAAACUAACUGUUUUAAAUUAAGAAUCCCUUCCUCACUUGGGCCCCACCAGCCAGCAAGCUGAACAACGUUAAAGGUUAUGGAGAAUUAGAAGAAAACAAAGUAAACUGCUUUAGACUAUGUUCGGGAGUAGGAGACAAAUUAUUUACUGGAGACUUACUUAAUCAUGUGAAAAAUUCCACUGCAUGUGGUGCGUUGGCCUUGGCUGCCUGCUGGAUACCCACGGAGCUGCUUUCUCACUCUGUAACAUCAACAGGAUGGGGAGAAAUCAUGGGUCAAGAUAAAGAC